RNAcentral lists this ribosomal RNA (253 nucleotides) under uncultured cyanobacterium. RNAcentral's name for it is "partial 16S ribosomal RNA". It matches the Rfam family "Bacterial small subunit ribosomal RNA", at positions 524 to 776 of the family's 1533-position model. The record is from RNAcentral. Lineage: Bacteria; Bacillati; Cyanobacteriota.
UACGGGGGGUGCAAGCGUUGUCCGGAAUCAUUGGGCGUAAAGAGUUCGUAGGCGGCACGUAAAGUCUGGUGUUAAAGGCAGAGGCUCAACUUCUGUACGGCACUGGAUACUUGCGAGCUAGAAUGCGGUAGAGGUAAAGGGAAUUCCUGGUGUAGCGGUGAAAUGCGCAGAUAUCGGGAAGAACACCGGUGGCGAAGGCGGCCUUCUGGGCCAUCACUGACGCUGAGGCGCGAAAGCUAGGGGAGCAAACAGG